RNAcentral lists this long non-coding RNA (235 nucleotides) under Nicotiana benthamiana. RNAcentral's name for it is "long non-coding RNA (NBEN_LNC021378)". The record is from RNAcentral. Lineage: Eukaryota; Viridiplantae; Streptophyta; Magnoliopsida; Solanales; Solanaceae.
GGCGAAAGUGUGCUAAUCCCUAUGUUGUGCGGAGCUGAGUAUCUUCUAUUCGCUGGGAUAAAGCCUUUCCUCUGCAGGGGCCUUGUGCAGUAAACCCCCUACGGGCGGUCGUCCGUCGUCCUAAAGUAGUCCCCGCGAAGCUUUCGGGAAGAGGGGUAGUCUUGUGUGUAAGCAUAGCAUUUCUGGUCGAACCCGCCCAACCCAACUAAGAAGAACCGAACCUGACAGACACAUC